Molecule: long non-coding RNA, 795 nt
Filed under: Coturnix japonica (Japanese quail)
Lineage: Eukaryota; Metazoa; Chordata; Aves; Galliformes; Phasianidae
Description: lncRNA (ENSCJPG00005009663.1)
Source: RNAcentral
AUGUUUCCUUUGCCUUGUGAGGCCUCAAGCAAACUGUAUGAUCCUGACAGUUUUGGCAGGAAUCCGAAGCUGGAGAGAAGCACCAUGCCUGGUUUCCCCUCCUUCUCCUUAUCCUGUUUGACUUCUGCUUCUCAGAAGAAUGUUGACACCACAGUGCAGUGUUGGUACUGCCAUGGGUUUUGCUGUCUUCACCCAAGUAGAAAGAUAAGGUAUUAAAUGGGAUGUGGGAAAUCUAUCAUAGCAAAAGUGGCAUGUUCCACAGCAUGCCUGGGGGAUUCUCAGUGAGGCAAGAGCCAAACAGGUGGCAACAGUUAGAAGAAAGUCAAGGGAGGAAAUGAUACCUUUGACAUGAGGCCAAAUCUAUGAUGCAAGAACACAGAGAACUUCCUCAUGAGUUAAAUUUAGAACAUUUAUUAAAAGACGGGCUAAUAUAGUCCUGUGAAUGGGAGAAAAAGGAGGCAGGGCAGGAAUAAGUUAUGUUUAAAGGGAAGAGGAACUAUACUGGAGUGGACAUCAGGUGGGGAACCAAGGUUUUGGGAGGGCAAAGUUAGAUUUGGGGCAGAAAGUGGGAUAAGAAAGCACCUCAAACUAAGACUCUGAAACUCAACACAAAGCCAGUUACAUAGGGAAAUUGAGAUUUCCAAAAAGAGAAGAACAUGCCUGGAGAAUCUAGGAGAAAGGAGAAAAAUGGAAAAUCAAAGAGGAGAUAUGAACUGACCUGAGCUUUCAGAGGACACGGAGUGCUCAGGUCCCUCAUUCACAUCCAUGAUGGAGGAAUGAGACCUGCAAGUGGGG